AGAGAAUCACUUGAACCCAGGAGGCGGAGGUUGCAGUGAGCUGAGAUCAUGCCAUUGCACUACAGCCUGGGUGACAGAG
This 79-nucleotide small nuclear RNA is filed under the name Homo sapiens (human). RNAcentral describes it as "partial ncRNA". The record is from RNAcentral. Lineage: Eukaryota; Metazoa; Chordata; Mammalia; Primates; Hominidae.